GUACGUACGACGAAUUCUUUAGCUUGCUAGGAUAGUAAGUGGCGCACGGGUGAGUAACGCGUGGGUAAUUUACCUCUGAAUUUGGGAUAACUCCGCGAAAGCGGGGCUAAUACCGGAUAAUAUUUCAGGAUCUUCGGGUCUUGAAAUCAAAAGUGGCCUCUACAUGUAAGCUACUGUUUGGAGAUGAGCCCGCGUACCAUUAGCUUGUUGGUAGGGUAGUGGCCUACCAAGGCUACAAUGGUUAGCUGGUCUGAGAGGAUGAUCAGCCACACUGGAACUGACACACGGUCCAGACUCCUACGGGAGGCAGCAGUGAGGAAUUUUGCGCAAUGGGGAAAACCCUGACGCAGCAACGCCGCGUGAGUGAUGAAGGCUUUCGGGUCGUAAAGCUCUGUCAAGUGGGAAGAACAUGAUAAAUGUUAAUAUCAUUUUUCACUGACGGUACCACUAAAGGAAGCACCCGGCUAACUCCGUGCCAGCAGCCGCGGUAAUACGGAGGGUGCAAGCGUUAUUCGGAAUUAUUGGGCGUAAAGGGCGCGUAGGCGGUCUUUUCAGUCAGAUGUGAAAGCCCGGGGCUUAACCCCGGAAGUGCAUUUGAAACUAAAGGACUUGAGUAU
This 617-nucleotide ribosomal RNA is filed under the name uncultured bacterium. RNAcentral's name for it is "bacterial SSU rRNA". It matches the Rfam family "Bacterial small subunit ribosomal RNA", at positions 57 to 649 of the family's 1533-position model. The record is from RNAcentral.